This 253-nucleotide ribosomal RNA is filed under the name uncultured bacterium. RNAcentral's name for it is "partial 16S ribosomal RNA". It matches the Rfam family "Bacterial small subunit ribosomal RNA", at positions 524 to 776 of the family's 1533-position model. The record is from RNAcentral.
UACGUAGGUGGCAAGCGUUGUCCGGAAUUAUUGGGCGUAAAGCGCGCGCAGGCGGUUUCUUAAGUCUGAUGUGAAAGCCCACGGCUCAACCGUGGAGGGUCAUUGGAAACUGGGGAACUUGAGCGCAGAAGAGGAAAGUGGAAUUCCAAGUGUAGCGGUGAAAUGCGUAGAGAUUUGGAGGAACACCAGUGGCGAAGGCGGCACUCUGGGCUGGUACUGACGCUGAGGAGCGAAAGCGUGGGUAGCAAACAGG